CUACGGGACGCAGCAGUAGGGAAUUUUCGGCAAUGGGGGAAACCCUGACCGAGCAACGCCGCGUGAAUGACGAAGUACUUCGGUAUGUAAAGUUCUUUUAUUAGGGAAGAAUGGCAGGUGGAAAAACCUGAUUGACGGUACCUAAUGAAUAAGCCCCGGCUAACUAUGUGCCAGCAGCCGCGGUAAUACAUAGGGGGCAAGCGUUAUCCGGAAUUAUUGGGCGUAAAGGGUGCGUAGGUGGUUAGUUAAGUCUUUGGUGUAAGUGCAGUGCUUAACGCUGUGAUGCUAAAGAAACUGGCUGACUUGAGGGUGGUAGAGGCAAGUGGAAUUCCAUGUGUAGCGGUAAAAUGCGUAAAUAUAUGGAGGAACACCAGUGGCGAAGGCGGCUUGCUGGGCCACAACUGACACUGAGGCACGAAAGCGUGGGGAGCAAACAGGAUUAGAUACCCGCGUAGUC
RNAcentral lists this ribosomal RNA (457 nucleotides) under uncultured bacterium. Its description in RNAcentral is "partial 16S ribosomal RNA". It matches the Rfam family "Bacterial small subunit ribosomal RNA", at positions 339 to 795 of the family's 1533-position model. The record is from RNAcentral.